CCUACGGGAGGCAGCAGUGGGGAAUAUUGCGCAAUGGGCGAAAGCCUGACGCAGCGACGCCGCGUGAGGGAUGAAGGUCUUCGGAUCGUAAACCUCUGUCAGCAGGGAAGAACGGUCACUGUGCUAAUCAGCAGUGAAUUGACGGUACCUGCAAAGGAAGCACCGGCUAACUCCGUGCCAGCAGCCGCGGUAAUACGGAGGGUGCGAGCGUUAAUCGGAAUUACUGGGCGUAAAGCGCUCGUAGGCGGUAUGUCAAGUCAAGGGUGAAAUCCCCGCGCUCAACGGGGGAACUGCCUUGGAAACUGGCAAACUGGAGUGUGUGAGAGGAUAGUGGAAUUCGAGGUGUAGGAGUGAAAUGCGUAGAUAUCUGGAGGAACAUCAGUGGCGAAGGCGACUAUCUGGCACAUAACUGACGCUGAGGAGCGAAAGCGUGGGUAGCAAACAGGAUUAGAUACCCUUGUAGUC
This 465-nucleotide ribosomal RNA is filed under the name uncultured bacterium. Its description in RNAcentral is "partial 16S ribosomal RNA". It matches the Rfam family "Bacterial small subunit ribosomal RNA", at positions 338 to 795 of the family's 1533-position model. The record is from RNAcentral.